GCAACAUGGGCUAUAACGGACCCACCCCUCGCGCACAUCAGAGGCCUCAUAAGAUUCCUUGUGUGGAGCCGACUAGUAGUUAGAGAGAGCAGCUGAAAGAAAUACAUUCAUCAAGACUCUUAUACGAAUGUUCAGAAUGUGAUUAUUCCACUUGUACAUUCUGUCUGGAGAUACAAUUGAACAUUCAGUAGCAUGCAAGCCGAUUCACAACAUUCAGGACAGCUGCAAAAUUUGCAUGGAAAAGAAACCACACCUGGAAAUGGGACGAGCCAGAACUUUUACCAGAUAUGUUUACCACCUCACACUGCAAGUCCUUCAUAUUCUGGACAAACUGCCACUGGAAAUUACUUCACCUGCACAAUUCAACCGGCAACCAGUGACCAGAUUUUGGCUAGUGGCAUUCAAGCUACCAAAGGCACAAAGCUUGCACAAGAAAAUCAGCUCGAUUCAAACCAUACAUUGCCGACAGGAAAACAGGAUUCCCAAAUGAUUCUGUGGAACAUGCCCUCUAAUUACCAGAUAUUCCUACCGGUUAACAACAUGAAUCUACAAGGUGCUCCCAACAAUAAUGGGCCAAACAUGUCACAUUGUGCCUUUAACUCAACUAACAGUUUAUACAUGCAACAGCAAACUACCUCCUCAGCAGUUGGCCCAAAUAAUUUGCAGCCGUUUAAAACAAUAGACACUCAAAGUCAUAAUGAAGCUAGAAUAAAUGUGAGCACAAGCAACUUGGAUAGCAGGCAGCACUAUGCAAAUGCUCCUACUAAUUUGCCAAUAGACUCCUCAAAAACAAGGACAAGCUUGCCAUCUGACCUAAAUUCUUGUCCUCCAACAGAAAAUACACAUCAUGGCCAAAGUAGUUUGUUUGGUGGAUACCUUUACCAGUUGUUGUUUGCUGAGAAAUCAAAUAAUGCUAACGUGCAAAUGCUUUCUACCUGUGCACAGAACCUGCAACCGAAUAAUGCUGCUCAGAGAGUUGUUGCCAUUGUCCCGCCAUUGUCUCCGAUAGGAACGGCACCUGUUAAUGUGUUAGACAAAUCUGCUAAUGUGAAAAUGAAUGUAAGCCCUGUGCAAGAGACUGUAGACCAUCAACCAAAUAUUCCACAUCCUCUGGUGACCAACGCUAAUCUGAUGAACCAAACGGGAGAACCAAAUGACCUAACAAGCAAGCAUCAGCGACCAAAGUCAGCAGAGCCAAGGCUGGAUGAUGGCCUUUGCAACGUAGUUGGAGCCGAGAGUCCAGUUUUGGCUAAUGAAUCGACUGACCAAAGUCUCUGUGCAAGUUCGCCGAACCUGAAAUGUGUGGUCGCAGAACAAAACAAGUCUAUUCCAGCUCAAAUGCAAAAUGAACCGGCUGAAAAGACAAAUAAAAACAGUACCGUCAUGGACAAGAAAACAAUUGACCCGGACACUGUUCCUUUUAUUGAAUGGCCAUUAGAUCGAUUGCGGACCUUAAUGGCCGUGAUUCAGCAAAUGGAAAAUGGGGAUCAGAAGAACAUCCACAAAACUGAUCCUGGGAAGGACAUCUUAAAGCUUUACUGGAACGGGGAUACUCGCAAGUUUUCUGAAGCUGUAGAAAGUGGCAUAUAUCAAAGCAUAAUGGAAGAAGUUUAUAUUUACUCUCCGAUGAACGAGCCUGUGAUACUGAGGCAAAUUGUAAAUGAUGCACGUAGCAAAGUCAUCAAGGAUUUUCACGUUUUAAAACACGACGAAGCGCCACCGAAGAUGACGUACACGUCGUCCUGGUUGAAUCUUAAUGAAAACGUUGAUGACAUCGACAAGGAAUGUGGUUAUUCUUGGUUCUAUAAGUCUUUUCAAAAUGUCCCUGAACACGAAGCACAAAACUUGGCAUGUGAAGCACCAAGCACAUUGCAAGAAGCCACUGAAAAGCCAUCAUUGAUUAGGACCAAACAAUUACCAUCAGAGGUGGAGAACAAAGUACCAGCAGACGAACCAACAUCAAAAAAUGAGAGUCUACAUGAAAAUGUGCCCGUUUCAUUUAAUGGACAAUCUCCACCUGUGACUAAAAUCAACUGCUCACCGAAGCAUAAUUGUCAGGUUACAGAACUAACCAACAGUCAGCCAAUUAUUACAAAUUCUCUGGAGGCCAUGGUGGAUUUGGAUGAACAAGGUGUCCCUACUGGAAAGUCAAGUUUGGAUAACCAAUUUGGAACCAAGAGUGUUGUGUCACCCAAAUCAACUAGCCAAAGUGACUAUACAAACUCGCCAAAGCCCAUUCAUGUGGUUGCAGAACAACAGGAGAUUGUGUUAUCUUCUCAAAUGCAAAAAAUGCUUAAUGACUGUGCCAUUCUUGAUAAGAACGUGAGAUGUAAGACCACGACAAAACCUAGUCAAGAACCUCCUGUGCAUGUGAAUGAAGUGGAGACUGACAAGAUGGAUACUUCAGCCACUACGAUGAACGUUCUCCCUCAUGACAUGGCUAGACAGUGCUUCGCUAAUGAGAUGAAAGGACAUAAAGUCAUUGCUGCAUUUCCAGACAAGCACGAGGUGCCUUUGUUGAACACACCCCAUGUACUUGACACAAAAUCAACAGAAGAACCGAUAAGCAGGCAGAAGCUAGAGGAGAAAUAUGCCACAUAUUCUGCAUCCAAAGUUCUAGCAUUGCUAUCAGACCAGUAUAAAUCAUCUUUAGCUGAACAUAAUCAGAUUACAGACAAAGUACAGCAAGAAGAACAAAUCUCCUCGGAGAAAAAUAUGUACGAUGAGAUUUGUGAAGAAUCUCCUGUUCCCUCGAUUGCUCCAUCUCCACCAGUGAUUGAUAAUGUCUCUCCGAAGCUUAAUGAACAACAACCAAAUACUGUUAAUCCACUGAAGGGCAUGAGAAAUCUGGUGAGGACACUGGAAAAACGAAAUGUUUCAUUAAAGUAUAUAAAAUUUAUUGAAAAACAUGGUGGUUUGAAAAAGCAUAAACCGUCAUCUAGAACGUCAAAACUGCACAACAGUUUUGGUAUUAGUGUUGGAGCCCAAAGUCCCAUGUUGACUGAUGAAUCAUCCAGCCAAAGUGACUGCACAAUUGAAGCAUCGACGCUUAGUCCUGUGGUUGAAAAACGGCAGUUUGUUCCAUUAACCCAAGUGCAAAAUGAAUCCAGCGAAAUUAUGCUUAACAGUAAAUUUGAUAAGACCCUAAGAUGUGAGACUGAUCCAAAACCUUGUCAAGAGCUUUCCAUACAAAUCAAUGAUGAAAAGUUUGUUGAGAUGGAUGCUUCAUCUUCUGUUAAGCUUGAUGUUCUCACUCUGGAAGUGGCUAAACAAUGCUUUGCUGAAAAUAGAGGCAUUGCUCCAACAUCAAAGAAUGCAACAUUAAGGCUGGAUGACCCUCUUUGUAAGCGAGCCAAAAGUCCAGUGUUGGCUGAUGGAUCAACCAGCCAAAUUGACUAUGCAAGUCCGCCAAAACUUUAUCCAGUGCUCACAGGACCAUCUCAAAUGCAAAAUGAAUCUAAUGAAGAAAUGCCUGAAAUUGACCGUGUACUCUCAAAUGACUCCGUGAGAUGUGAGACUGAUCCAAAACCCAGUCAAGAACUUUCUAUGAACAUGAAUGAAGAGGAGUUUGUCGAGAUGGAUGCUUCAGCUUCUAUUAAGAUUAAUGUUCUCCCUCAUGAAGUGGCUAUGCAAUGCUUUGCUGAUCAGAUGAUGGAAGAUAUAGACAUUGCUGCACCACCAGAGACGAUGCACAAGGCCUGUUUGUUGAAUUCACCCACAGACACUGUAUUGACAAAAGAACAGAUAAACAUGUGGAGGUUUGAAGGGACUGAUGGAGCUAAAAGUCCAGUGUUGACCGAAGGAUCAAUGAGCCAAAGUAAUUGUGGAAGUCCACCAAAACUUGAUCCUGUGAUUGAAGAACCAUCUCAAGUGCAAAAUAAAUCCAAUAUAGAAAUGCCGGAAAUUGACUGUAUGCUCACAGAUGAGAGCGUGAGAUGCGAGACCGAUCCAAAACCUACUCAAGAACUUCCUGUUAACAUGAAUGAAGAGGAGACUGACCGUUUAGACUCUAUUAAGAUCAAUGUUCUCCCUCAUGAAAUGGCUGAGCUUUGGUUUGUUGGUGAGACAGAAAAUAAGGACUUGCAGAAAGACACUACAGUUCAUAAUUCCACUGAGGACCAGGUGAAAGUUAAAGUUUUGGAACUCAAGUCUGAAAAAGAAGUGCUCCUAGAAGAUGUGAAGCCAAAAGAGAGGAAAUAUCCAAGUUCUGGUGGUGAACAGUUGGCGUCUUACUGUUGUCUUGCUAAAUGGUUUCAAACUUUAGAAUAUGGAAAUGGCUCAUUGUGCAUGUGCCAGAAAAAAGCCGAGUUGAGAGAGGAGGAGACUAAAACUGAGGCCCAUAGCACAAGUUUAGAGGUGCAGGCUGAAAAAGACAGUCCAGGUGAAUGCGAACGGGUGGAAAUGGAUGCUGCUGCUCUUGAAAGAACUGAUGAUUCUGAAGCCACAGAUGAUUCUGAAACCACGGAUGAUUCUGAGGACGAAAACCCAUUGCUGCAUGAUCCUACUACGGACAAGACAAAGAUUGCGAAGGACCUAUCAAGUUCUGAAGAGGUCUCUAAGGCAGAGACUGAAACUUCAGAGCAGAAAAGAAAUGAAUCGCCCACAAAAUGUGCAACAAACAUGACUCCUAUGAAUGAGAUUGAGCAAGACACCCCGGCUCCUGAUUUGAAGAAGACUAAAACAGUAUGGCUUGCACUGUAUGGGUCGUCUUCUGAAAAAGGAAACCAACUAAAGCUAACUAAAAGGUGCAAAGAGAAAUCAAGUUGCGAAGAACCCCCAAAAACUCUUCAAGUAACUGUAAGCUCUCACCAGAAGGUUAAAAACAACAGUGAGUCAAAGAAGCACAAAUGUAUGGAAUCAGAAGAUGAAGAUGCUACUGACAGGAGAGCGCGAAAACGAAGCGUAUCCUUGCAAAAUCUGGUUCAGCGUACAUCCUUGCCCUCGCAUCCUGUUUCUGGACUCAGCAAAACUAGACUUUCAUCUACCUCAGUCAGAAAACUGCUCUGUCAAAGUGCUUAUGAGAAGAGUGACGUCCAUUUGGCUGAAGGAAAUAAGCGAAAGAGACCGAAUAAGCAUACAACGCAACAAAUGUCAAUGAAUAAAUAUAUAGUUAGAGGGAAGACUGUGCCAUCCAAAUUAUUGCAUUCACCCGAGAAUGUGAAGAAAAGUAAAUAUGAGUUGGGGAACCCUGCUUUGAUGCCAUUGGAUGAGGGUCCUGCUUUGGAGUUCAAAGUAUUGCCAGAGACUUUUAACUUUGAAGAUGGAGCUCAAGCCGACACAUCACGGAGUAUGCAAAAUGAGAUGUCAGGCCCAGAAGAAAAAGCCAAAAAGAUGAAAACUAGCCAUGUGCCAACCCAAGGUAUUGGAGAGAAGAUUCAUGUUGUUAAUUUGAAAUGUAACAUUUUUAUUAGCCUCUUAUAAAGUGCAGUUCACCACUUUUGAAUAAUGAUUAAUGAACUGAAUCACAUAGCAUUGUCUGGCAGGUAGUUUACCACUCCUCUAAACGGCUUUGUGCUUGUCUAUCUGCAGGUGUCUGGAGUUUCAGUCCCUUGAAGAAAAAGUGCACUCAACCCAUCCAGGACACUGACAUCUCAGAUUCAUGUAGCCUCUUCCAAGAGUUCAGAAAGAAAUAUCAAGAAAAGAAGGACAUUGCCUCCAAGCAGAACUUGAAUUCCAGUGAAAGAGCUUGAUUUAUUUGUUUUUUUUCUAUUAAAAUGAAAGCAAAUGGGCUUAUUUUGUCAUGUGUUUACUUCCUUGUGAAUGAUAAACCUAAACGGAUACAAACUGCGAGUGUUCAAAUACAUUUUUACUGUUUACUUGAACUUGAUUAUUUGUAUUAUAUUAUAAAUGCAUCAUUUGCACACUGUUAAUCCAGUUCAACAGCUGCUAGUCAUCCAGUAUUUGUGUACCAGUUUUAUACAUUAACUGCAUUUCCAAGAAAUAUGUUUGUCAUGAAAGUGUAAUUUUUUUAUUAUUAUUAUUAUUCUGUAUAUUGUAGUGUUUUUAUUUGGAUUCCACUGGUUUGUAAAAAUUUGACAAUCUAUUUUUGUACGAUUUUAUAAGACCUUUUUUUUU
Sinocyclocheilus grahami is the source of this 6075-nucleotide long non-coding RNA. Ensembl lists it as uncharacterized. The record is from Ensembl. Lineage: Eukaryota; Metazoa; Chordata; Actinopteri; Cypriniformes; Cyprinidae.